CGUUAGCGGCGGACGGGUGAGUAACACGUGGGUAACCUACCUAUAAGACUUGGAUAACUUCGGGAAACCGGAGCUAAUACCGGAUAAUAUUUCGAACCGCAUGGUUCGAUAGUGAAAGAUGGUUUUGCUAUCACUUAUAGAUGGACCUGCGCCGUAUUAGCUAGUUGGUAAGGUAACGGCUUACCAAGGCGACGAUACGUAGCCGACCUGAGAGGGUGAUCGGCCACACUGGAACUGAGACACGGUCCAGACUCCUACGGGAGGCAGCAGAC
This 272-nucleotide ribosomal RNA is filed under the name uncultured Staphylococcus sp. RNAcentral describes it as "partial 16S ribosomal RNA". It matches the Rfam family "Bacterial small subunit ribosomal RNA", at positions 90 to 354 of the family's 1533-position model. The record is from RNAcentral. Lineage: Bacteria; Bacillati; Bacillota; Bacilli; Caryophanales; Staphylococcaceae.